ACGGAGGGUGCGAGCGUUAUUCGGAAUUACUGGGCGUAAAGCGCGCGCAGGCGGGCUAGUAAGUCAGUUGUGAAAUCCCGCGGCUUAACCGCGGAACUGCCUUUGAAACUGAUAUCCUUGAGUUUGGGAGAGGUAGGCGGAAUUUGCGGUGUAGAGGUGAAAUGCGUAGAUAUUGCACGGAACACCAAUGGCGAAGGCAGCCUUCUGGGCCGAUACUGACGCUGAGGCGCGAAAGCGUGGGGAUCAAACAG
Molecule: ribosomal RNA, 251 nt
Filed under: uncultured prokaryote
Description: partial 16S rRNA
Rfam family: Bacterial small subunit ribosomal RNA
Source: RNAcentral